Molecule: ribosomal RNA, 468 nt
Filed under: uncultured bacterium
Lineage: Bacteria
Description: partial 16S ribosomal RNA
Rfam family: Bacterial small subunit ribosomal RNA
Source: RNAcentral
GACGAACGCUGGCGGCGUGCUUAACACAUGCAAGUCGAACGGAAAGGCCCUGCUUUUGUGGGGUGCUCGAGGGGCGAACGGGUGAGUAACACGUGAGUAACCUGCCCUUGACUUUGGGAUAACUUCAGGAAACUGGGGCUAAUACCGGAUAGGAGCUCCUGCUGCAUGGGGGGGGUUGGAAAGUUUCGGCGGUUGGGGAUGGACUCGCGGCUUAUCAGCUUGUUGGUGGGGUAGUGGCUUACCAAGGCUUUGACGGGUAGCCGGCCUGAGAGGGUGACCGGCCACAUUGGGACUGAGAUACGGCCCAGACUCCUACGGGAGGCAGCAGUGGGGAAUAUUGCACAAUGGGCGGAAGCCUGAUGCAGCAACGCCGCGUGCGGGAUGACGGCCUUCGGGUUGUAAACCGCUUUCGCAUGUGACGAAGCGUGAGUGACGGUAAUGGGUAAAGAAGCACCGGCUAACUACGUG